GAUGAACGCUGGCGGCGUGCUUAACACAUGCAAGUCGAACGGAGAAAGGGUAGCUUGCUAUCUUUUCUUAGUGGCGGACGGGUGAGUAACGCGUGGGUAACCUGCCUCAUACUGGGGGAUAACAGCUGGAAACGGCUGCUAAAACCGCAUAAGAUCGCAUCACCGCAUGGUGAGGCGGUUAAAUAUCGAAAGAUAGGUAUGAGAUGGGCCCGCGUCUGAUUAGCUAGUUGGUGAGAUAAGAGCCCACCAAGGCGACGAUCAGUAGCCGGCUUGAGAGAGUGACCGGCCACAUUGGGACUGAGACACGGCCCAAACUCCUACGGGAGGCAGCAGUGGGGAAUAUUGCACAAUGGGGGAAACCCUGAUGCAGCGACGCCGCGUGAGUGAAGAAGUGCUUCGGCAUGUAAAGCUCUAUCAGCAGGGAAGAAGAUGACGGUACCUGACUAAGAAGCCCGGUAACUACGUGCCAGCAGCCGAC
This 478-nucleotide ribosomal RNA is filed under the name uncultured bacterium. RNAcentral describes it as "bacterial SSU rRNA". It matches the Rfam family "Bacterial small subunit ribosomal RNA", at positions 28 to 518 of the family's 1533-position model. The record is from RNAcentral.